UACGGAGGGUGCAAGCGUUAUCCGGAUUUACUGGGUUUAAAGGGUGCGUAGGUGGCGUCGUAAGUCGGGUGUGAAAUCUCGGGGCUUAACUCCGAAACUGCAUUCGAUACUGCGGUGCUUGAGGACUGGAGAGGAGACUGGAAUUUACGGUGUAGCAGUGAAAUGCGUAGAGAUCGUAAGGAAGACCAGUGGCGAAGGCGGGUCUCUGGACAGUUCCUGACACUGAGGCACGAAGGCCAGGGGAGCAAACGGG
Molecule: ribosomal RNA, 253 nt
Filed under: uncultured bacterium
Lineage: Bacteria
Description: partial 16S ribosomal RNA
Rfam family: Bacterial small subunit ribosomal RNA
Source: RNAcentral